This is a non-coding RNA of Paramisgurnus dabryanus, 1964 nucleotides long. The record is from RefSeq and is a predicted model, not a curated record. Lineage: Eukaryota; Metazoa; Chordata; Actinopteri; Cypriniformes; Cobitidae.
AUUUAAUAUAUUGCUCUUAUUAUUUUGUCCAUGGCUGGGAAGACAAACUCUAGGAAUAUGAACAGUCAUGGUCGCUCCGAGGCAAAUGUGUCACCCAUUGGCCAGUAUCAGUUCCCCGCCUGCAUGUAUGAAGCAGCAGGAGUGCCAGCAGAGAUACGGAGCGAUCACAGCUCUGAAGAAGCCACCGGCACGUGGAGGAAGAGGAGGAACAGAGAAACGCAGUGAACGUGAGAAAGAUGCUCUCCAGUGGCCACAUCUCCACAGUGAGACGGAAAUCAGGAGGACAGAGAGGUCUGGAGGAGACAAGAGACUUCAAUCUGGAUCAUUUCUUAAUAUUGAAUGUGUUGUGCUCUGAAAGUUAAACUCCAGAAGAAAAGUUAAUAACAGCCUCACUUGCUUGACUGCUUCAGGAGACACGUUGGUUUCUGUGGAUGCAUUUUACCUGCAGGACAUGCACAAGACUCGAAGAGACAGCACUGAGUAUUUAAAAUGAUGGAAAGAUUGUCUGUUUGGCACAUUUAGCAGUCCAAAAUAUCCUGUCAUGGAGGCGAAUGCCAAUCGGGAAGCCUGCCUGUGUGCCUCCACCUCCCCGACCCCACCAGCAAACCUUGAGCUCAAGCACGGUCACGCGGUCCGUUUCAAGAAAGUGUGUCGAAUCGAAGAGGAAAGUUUGAGCCCGUUUCCCGGACUGCCGGCAGGUGUGUUGGAAAUGAAGGUGAAAGAGGGCAGCAAAAUUCGCAAUCUCAUGGGAUUUGCCAUGACACGUAUGCAGGACGAGGCCCGCGACGGUGGUCAGACGGGACUGAGACGGGUCGUGUUCAGUGGGUCGGGCCGAGCCGUCACCAAAACCAUCACCUGUGCCGAGAUCAUGAAGAGGAAGAUCGGUGGUCUUCAUCAGAUUACCAAACUGCAAUACAAGAGUGUACGAGAGGUCUGGGAGAGUCAGGAAGGAGGAGACUCUGAGAUGACCGUACACCGGACUCUUCCAUCCAUCAGCAUUCUGCUCUCCAAAGAUCCUCUUGAUCCUCUAGAACCGGGAUAUCAGCCUCCGGAGACUGUCUGGGAUGAGAGAAAUGGAGAAGAGGCUUCAUGUGCGAUGGAGAAAAGAUCUAUAGACUCAUUUGGUUCUCUGGUAGAGCCACAGGCAAAAAAACAGUGCCUAUGAGCUUUAUGGAUACGUGUGACGGCCAACAACAACCAAUGAAGGCACUCGAUCGGUUCUCAUCCAGAGAAUCUAUCGGAUGGGGGGCCCCAUACAUACCAUCGCCUUGGGGCCCCAAUUUGCUAAAUCCGCCACUGCUUGUGAGAUGUCUGAUAUUCCAUCAUGUAAGCAAAGUCAACAGUGAUUACAAGCUGUUUGCUUUCAUUUAUUGAUUUAUUUCAUUAAAAUGUAUUUCAUUUAUUUUUGGGCUGUGGUUAGACAUCACUGACAGUCCAAAUUUUCCCUUGAUUAAACACCUUUAAAUUUCUUGCUGGGUGUUAACAUUUACUUUUCUUAUCACAGCAAAUCAAAUCUGACCUACAUGAAGAGAAACAGUUGGAUGGUUGUGUGUGUGAGUCUCAUGAAUCUGUAUUUAUUUGCUGAAAAUGGUUUUUGACCCUUUAUUAUCUUCCUUUAUUGUUGACAGUUGAGCAUCUUUUCUUUAAAACACUCAUUGCUGAAAUAAGGCCAAAUCAUUUAUACUUGUUAUGUAAAUAAUAUUAUUUAAAAGUUACAAUCUGCAUAAUAUCAUUUUGAAAAUAUGCAACAUUUUAUUCUUUUGGGUUUUUUGGGGGUUGAAACCUGAGCAUGUUUUCACCUGAGAAUCACCUGUUCAGAGCAUCACGUUGUACAAACAUAAAUGUAUGUUUUAUGUAUGUUUUCUUCUGCAACUUUGGGUAAAUAAAUAAUUUGCUACUUGCAUAACAGUAAGAAAGAAACUUUACUGCUGUUCAACAUACUGACAAAACUUUCAGUGUUUAUA